AUGAACGCUAGCAGAACGCCUAACACAUGCAAGUCAAACGGCCAGCAAUGGCAGUGGCAAACGAGCGAGUAACGCGUACUUAACCUGCCCAGAAGUUGUGAACAACCAUAGAGAUAUGGCUAAUUCACGAUAAUCCCUAAUGAAUGAAAACAUUUAGGGCAAAGAUUUAUCGCUUUUGGAGGGGGGUGCGUCCUAUCAGGUAGUUGGUGAGGUAAUAGCUCACCAAGCCUAUGACGGGUAGCCGGUCUGAGAGGAUGUCCGGCCGCGAUGGAACUGAGACACGGUCCAUACUCCUACGGGAGGCAGCAGUGGGGAAUAUUGGACAAUGGACGAAAGUCUGAUCCAGCGAUUCUGCGUGGAGGAUGAAGCAUUACGGUGUGUAAACUCCUUUUCUGGUGGAAGACGAAUGACGGUACACCAGGAAUAAGCAUCGGCUAACUAUGUGCCAGCAGCCGCGGUAAUACAUAGGAUGCAAGCGUUAUCCGGAGUCACUGGGCGUAAAGGGUUCGCAGCCGGAUCUAUAAGUCUGUUUUCAAAUUCUUUCGCUCAACGAAAGGCAGGGAAUAGAUACUGUAGAUCUAGAGGUUUUUGGAGGGUAAUGGAAUUCCAGGUGGAGCGGUGAAAUGUGUUGAUAUCUGGAAGAAUGCCGAAAGCGAAAGCAGUUACCUACAAUUUACCUGACGGUCAGGAACGAAAGCUUGGGGAGCAAAUGGGAUUAGAUACCCCAGUAGUCCAAGCUGUAAAUUAUGUUCGCUAGGUGUCUUUGCUUUAUUGCAGGGGUGCCGCAACCUAACGGGUUAAGCGAACCGCCUGGGUAGUAUACUCGCAAGAGUGAAACUCAAAGGGAUAGGCGGGGGAACACACAAGCAGUGGAUGAUCUCGAU
RNAcentral lists this ribosomal RNA (884 nucleotides) under uncultured bacterium. RNAcentral's name for it is "bacterial SSU rRNA". It matches the Rfam family "Bacterial small subunit ribosomal RNA", at positions 29 to 946 of the family's 1533-position model. The record is from RNAcentral.